Molecule: unclassified non-coding RNA, 415 nt
Filed under: plant metagenome
Description: partial contains small subunit ribosomal RNA and internal transcribed spacer 1
Rfam family: Eukaryotic small subunit ribosomal RNA (bases 1-46)
Source: RNAcentral
GAGUCGUAACAAGGUAACCGUAGGUGAACCUGCGGUUGGAUCAUUAAAAAAUAAAAAUUCCUGCUUCUGGAACGGCAUUAGCUUGCGCAAUGUUGCAUUGCUUUUGCUUGGUAAACUUGAAGAUAGAACCUCUGAAAAAGGGGCUUGGAUAGGGAAUCUUUGGUAGUCCAUAUCCUACUAGGGGUAUGGUGCAAAGGUUCCCUGUUUGGGAUGUUCAAGGAAGGACCACAGAAGUACAUUUUUUCACAUCUUUGUGCACUGUUCAACGUCUCUGGUGGGAGGGUAGUGCAAACUACUUGUCAGCAUUGUCUAUUUUAAUAGAUGUGCCGUGGACAGCCCAUCAAACAUGUGUCUUUACAUUCAUUGCUGACUUUAUCUCUGUCUAAAUUAGCUUGUAUAAAUAUACAUAAAACAA